RNAcentral lists this ribosomal RNA (493 nucleotides) under uncultured bacterium. RNAcentral describes it as "partial 16S ribosomal RNA". It matches the Rfam family "Bacterial small subunit ribosomal RNA", at positions 28 to 507 of the family's 1533-position model. The record is from RNAcentral.
GACGAACGCUGGCGGCGUGCCUAACACAUGCAAGUUGAGCGACGAACCAGGGCUUGCCCUGGGGCAAAGCAGCGAACGGGUGAGUAACACGUGGGUAACCUACCCCGAUAACCGGGACAACCCGAGGAAACUCGGGCUAAUACCGGAUGUGCUCACUCGACUUCGGUUCAGUGCGUAAAGGAAGCUUCGGCCUCCGUAUCGGGAGGGGCCCGCGGCCCAUUAGUUUGUUGGUGAGGUAACGGCUCACCAAGACCGCGAUGGGUAGCUGGUCUGAGAGGACGAUCAGCCACACUGGGACUGAGACACGGCCCAGACUCCUACGGGAGGCAGCAGUGGGGAAUCUUGCGCAAUGCGCGAAAGCGUGACGCAGCAACGCCGCGUGGGGGAAGAAGGCCUUCGGGUUGUAAACCCCUUUCAGGAGGGACGAAGGUUCGGCGGUGAAUAGCCGUCCGGACUGACGGUACCUCCACAAGAAGCCCCGGCUAACUACGUG